RNAcentral lists this long non-coding RNA (448 nucleotides) under Elaeis guineensis (African oil palm). RNAcentral describes it as "long non-coding RNA (EGUI_LNC037254)". Lineage: Eukaryota; Viridiplantae; Streptophyta; Magnoliopsida; Arecales; Arecaceae. The record is from RNAcentral.
GCUUCGUCAGUAGACACCACUUCUCCGUUGACCUCAUCCUCCUACCCUGAGCUAUACCACUUCUCAUCAAUCUUCUCCUUCUCUUCCAAUUUCCUCUACUGGAGACAUAUGUUGACAUCCUCCUCUCCCAAGCUCUUCCAUCAGCCUUCUCCUUCUCUACCUCUGCUAGCUUCCUCUUCCACCAGCUUCCUCCUCUUUCUCCUUCUCAUCCCAACCCCUACUCUCUCUCUCUCUUCCCUCUCCUUGCCAGCUUGUUUCCAUCUAAACCGUGAGCUACCCUCUUCCUCGAUGAUGAUGUUGGCCAAAAAAUUAUGGAUUACAUGAAAUAGAUAUCCCUCUCCCUCUCUCAUUACCCUCACUCUCUUUUCUCAAGGGUUUCACUAUUAUUGUGAAUCUCAUUUCUUUCUUUUGGUGGUUUCAAUCACUGGAGGCUGUGGUCAUCCGAAUU